UUUAAUAAUUAUAUUUUUUAAAUUAUUUGAAUGGCAGUAAAAUAUACAUAACAUAAAAUUGACCACCUUCAGCAUUUUAACUGUCCAGUUCAGUGGUAUUAAGUGCGCUCACACUGUUCCCACUCUAGAUUUUUGUUGUGAUUUCUCAUGUACAGAAUCUGAGGCACAGAGAGAUACCCUGAACCUCCAAGAAAAGGCAGAGUCCUGGGGAUGAUUUCGCUGAGAAGAAUGCGGAAGGAAUCCCAAGGCCUUUUUGGUGGAGGCGCUCUUAUUAUGCCCAUUUUACAGGGGAAGAAACUGAAGCCCCAAGGGCUGGCUGACUUGCUCAAGGUCACAGAGGAAGUAAAUGGUGGAGCCUGGAUUCGGACCCCACAGACUGGCUUCCGUGACGUGGCUUAAUAGCCACAGCUUUGCCCACCUCUGUGCUGGGUGCCGGGGUGCAGCGAUGAGAUCGACUGGAGGGGUUCCUGUUCCGGAGGCUCAGAAGCAGGUGGAAGGGAGUCAUAAAGAAAAACAAAGUGAAUCAGAACAGAAACAAUAUGUGGCCCACAAAGCCUAAAAUAUUUACUACCUGGACCUUGAAGGAAAAAGUUUGUUGAUACCUGCUAUAAGCCAUCAAAAUGUCAAGGAUUUUUGUUACACAACAUUAUUGCACAAAUAGAGAUCAUCAAACCAAAACUCUCAAAAGCGGAAUGUCUCACCAGGACUUUCUAAGGUCUUAUUGUUUUGCCUUCACCACAAAGGAACCCUCUCCAAGGUAUGUUAGCAUUUUAGGUACUUACACUCUGAAAGAUUCUGCAUUCACUUCUUCCCUCCUUUUCCACAAGAAGCCCAACAUGCAAUGAACACCUGUGGUGGCUGAGUUAGACAUUGUGCAGGACACCUUACAAAUGUCACCU
Molecule: long non-coding RNA, 899 nt
Filed under: Equus caballus (horse)
Lineage: Eukaryota; Metazoa; Chordata; Mammalia; Perissodactyla; Equidae
Description: lncRNA (ENSECAG00000059329.1)
Source: RNAcentral